UACGGGGGGGGCAAGCGUUGUUCGGAAUUACUGGGCGUAAAGGGCUCGUAGGCGGUCAACUAAGUCAGACGUGAAAUCCCUCGGCUUAACCGGGGAACUGCGUCUGAUACUGGAUGGCUUGAGGUUGGGAGAGGGAUGCGGAAUUCCAGGUGUAGCGGUGAAAUGCGUAGAUAUCUGGAGGAACACCGGUGGCGAAGGCGGCAUCCUGGACCAAUUCUGACGCUGAGGAGCGAAAGCCAGGGGAGCAAACGGG
This 253-nucleotide ribosomal RNA is filed under the name uncultured bacterium. RNAcentral's name for it is "partial 16S ribosomal RNA". It matches the Rfam family "Bacterial small subunit ribosomal RNA", at positions 524 to 776 of the family's 1533-position model. The record is from RNAcentral.